RNAcentral lists this ribosomal RNA (596 nucleotides) under Bacillus cereus. RNAcentral's name for it is "bacterial SSU rRNA". It matches the Rfam family "Bacterial small subunit ribosomal RNA", at positions 173 to 747 of the family's 1533-position model. Lineage: Bacteria; Bacillati; Bacillota; Bacilli; Caryophanales; Bacillaceae. The record is from RNAcentral.
CAUUUUGAACUGCAUGGUUCGAAAUUGAAAGGCGGCUUCGGCUGUCACUUAUGGAUGGACCCGCGUCGCAUUAGCUAGUUGGUGAGGUAACGGCUCACCAAGGCAACGAUGCGUAGCCGACCUGAGAGGGUGAUCGGCCACACUGGGACUGAGACACGGCCCAGACUCCUACGGGAGGCAGCAGUAGGGAAUCUUCCGCAAUGGACGAAAGUCUGACGGAGCAACGCCGCGUGAGUGAUGAAGGCUUUCGGGUCGUAAAACUCUGUUGUUAGGGAAGAACAAGUGCUAGUUGAAUAAGCUGGCACCUUGACGGUACCUAACCAGAAAGCCACGGCUAACUACGUGCCAGCAGCCGCGGUAAUACGUAGUUGGCAAGCGUUAUCCGGAAUUAUUGGGCGUAAAGCCGCGCCGCAGGUGGUUUCUUAGUUCUGAUUGUGAAAGGCCCACGGCUUCAACCGUGGAGGGUCAUUGGAAACUUGGGAGACUUGGAUUGCAAGAAAGGAACGUGGAAUUCCAUUUGUGUACGGUGAAAUGCGUAGAGAUAUUGGAGGGAACCACAUGGGCGAAGGCCCACUUUCUUGUUUGGACCUGAACCU